GACCCUUUAGCGCAUUGGAUAGCGCGUUGGACUUCUAAUCCAAAGGUGGCGGGUUCGAUUCCCGCAAGGGUUG
Transfer RNA from Drosophila melanogaster (fruit fly), 73 nucleotides. NCBI's taxonomy places the organism in Eukaryota, Metazoa, Arthropoda, Insecta, Diptera, Drosophilidae. The record is from Ensembl.